Molecule: long non-coding RNA, 1097 nt
Organism: Megalops cyprinoides (Indo-Pacific tarpon)
Lineage: Eukaryota; Metazoa; Chordata; Actinopteri; Elopiformes; Megalopidae
Exons: 3
Source: RefSeq, a predicted model, not a curated record
UGGCUGCUGCUGUACGCGAGCGCUUCAUCAACUUCUCUGCUCCCAGAUAACCCGUCUCUUGUCUCGUACCGCUCAGCAGCCGGAGGCGAGACUUGGUAACCUGCUGUCGCAUCCCUCUUUCCCUCAUCCGAGGGGAAAAAAAUAACUUCAGAAACAAGUCGACCGCAAACAUACAUCCCCGGCUGAACUUCCACCAACCAAGAGACCGGUAGGAGGAGUCAACAGGUCUCAGCUGACGUGGGAGACAGACGAUCGAUGUGGCCUGCCUUCUCCCCAGAAGCACAGUUGGCCAGGACACAGGCCUCUCCAUCUGUCUGAAGAGCUCUAUUAGAGCAGGAGAGGCUCCAGGUGAAGGUUUGGAAAGGGCUAAAGAGUGAGACUGGACCUCAGCUGGUGAGGAGGGGACCAUUUGUGAGCACCAUGUGACCUCCAGACACACCCCCUCCCUGUAACUACGGCACAGUCACGACCAAGAGGAACUCAGGACUCACCACCCCACCCCCCCAUCCCCCCACCAGGCUCUCCACCACAUACUCAGGCAGAGCAGGCACUCAGGCCAAGUCAUCUGACACAACUCAUCUACUCUCCCUUUAUAUACUCUCCAUUGACGGGGUUUUUCUCUCCCCAGUUCAACCGGUGCAAAGCUGCUGGCGAACAGACUCUCUCAGCUCCCCUGCAGAAGCAUAAGCAAAAGAGCUGUUCCUUGGCCAACCAUUCUCUUUCGUGUGGAGCACAUCAGUACUAGACGGGGGCUCUCCCACAGCCAACAGGGGUCUCCCCCUCACCAACGGAUCCCCGCGAUUACAAUCCAGCGCCCUCACCGCUUAAUCUGCCUCUCCACCCCGGGCCGGGUUACUGCAAGCCGUCCGGAUGGGGACUAAUUAAGGCGGGGGCUGACAGACUCCGCAGAGCCACGCCACCGUGCGCCAUCCUGACGGCGCCCCACUCAGCGCAGACAUGUCCGGCAAAGGCAACUCGGGACCGCACCUCAACGGCUUCCCCAUGCCGCCCUACUCUUACUUCUUCCCCCACGUUCUGGGGGGGUUGUCUCCCCCCGCGCUGCCGGGCCUGCCCAUCAGCGGCUACAGCACACCCUC